This 1031-nucleotide ribosomal RNA is filed under the name Alcaligenes sp. RNAcentral's name for it is "bacterial SSU rRNA". It matches the Rfam family "Bacterial small subunit ribosomal RNA", at positions 352 to 1450 of the family's 1533-position model. Lineage: Bacteria; Pseudomonadati; Pseudomonadota; Betaproteobacteria; Burkholderiales; Alcaligenaceae. The record is from RNAcentral.
CAGUGGGGAAUUUUGGACAAUGGGGGAAACCCUGAUCCAGCCAUCCCGCGUACUGCUGACGGUAUCUGCAGAAUAAGCACCGGCUAACUACGUGCCAGCAGCCGCGGUAAUACGUAGGGUGCAAGCGUUAAUCGGAAUUACUGGGCGUAAAGCGUGUGUAGGCGGUUCGGAAAGAAAGAUGUGAAAUCCCAGGGCUCAACCUUGGAACUGCAUUUUUAACUGCCGAGCUAGAGUAUGUCAGAGGGGGGUAGAAUUCCACGUGUAGCAGUGAAAUGCGUAGAUAUGUGGAGGAAUACCGAUGGCGAAGGCAGCCCCCUGGGAUAAUACUGACGCUCAGACACGAAAGCGUGGGGAGCAAACAGGAUUAGAUACCCUGGUAGUCCACGCCCUAAACGAUGUCAACUAGCUGUUGGGGCCGUUAGGCCUUAGUAGCGCAGCUAACGCGUGAAGUUGACCGCCUGGGGAGUACGGUCGCAAGAUUAAAACUCAAAGGAAUUGACGGGGACCCGCACAAGCGGUGGAUGAUGUGGAUUAAUUCGAUGCAACGCGAAAAACCUUACCUACCCUUGACAUGUCUGGAAAGCCGAAGAGAUUUGGCCGUGCUCGCAAGAGAACCGGAACACAGGUGCUGCAUGGCUGUCGUCAGCUCGUGUCGUGAGAUGUUGGGUUAAGUCCCGCAACGAGCGCAACCCUUGUCAUUAGUUGCUACGCAAGAGCACUCUAAUGAGACUGCCGGUGACAAACCGGAGGAAGGUGGGGAUGACGUCAAGUCCUCAUGGCCCUUAUGGGUAGGGCUUCACACGUCAUACAAUGGUCGGGACAGAGGGUCGCCAACCCGCGAGGGGGAGCCAAUCUCAGAAACCCGAUCGUAGUCCGGAUCGCAGUCUGCAACUCGACUGCGUGAAGUCGGAAUCGCUAGUAAUCGCGGAUCAGAAUGUCGCGGUGAAUACGUUCCCGGGUCUUGUACACACCGCCCGUCACACCAUGGGAGUGGGUUUCACCAGAAGUAGGUAGCCUAACCGCAAGGAGGG